GAAUGCUGCGGUGAAUGCGUUCCCGGGUCUUGUACACACCGCCCGUCACACCACGGGAGUUGGAGACGCCCGAAGCCGAUUAUCUAACCUUUUGGAAGAAGUCGUCGAAGGUGGAAUCAAUAACUGGGGUGAAGUCGUAACAAGGUAGCCGUAUCGGAAGGUGCGGCUGGAUCACCUCCUUUCUAAGGAGAAUU
Molecule: ribosomal RNA, 194 nt
Filed under: Clostridioides difficile
Lineage: Bacteria; Bacillati; Bacillota; Clostridia; Peptostreptococcales; Peptostreptococcaceae
Description: partial 16S ribosomal RNA
Rfam family: Bacterial small subunit ribosomal RNA
Source: RNAcentral